UUAACUAUUAUAUAGUACUCAGACAUCACUAAACAAACGAGUUUGGGUCCUCUGGCAGGCGCGGUCAGCGUCAGCCGACGCCCGAAGGCGGCCUGCCAGAGCAACAAAGGUAUGUAUACACGGUUUGGGAAUAGAACCCAUUUCGAAAAACGGGGCAUUCUUUAAUGAUCCUUCCGCAGGUUCACCUACGGAAA
RNAcentral lists this unclassified non-coding RNA (194 nucleotides) under uncultured fungus. RNAcentral's name for it is "sequence contains ITS1, 5.8S rRNA gene". The record is from RNAcentral. Lineage: Eukaryota; Fungi.